CAAUAGCGUAUGCUAACUUUGCUGCAGUUAAAAAGCUCGUAGUUGAAUUUUGGGACUUGGGAGGUCUGGUCUGCCUGAUGGUAAGUACUGACUUCCCGGUUCUAAUUUCUCGUUUCUUUCGGGUCUUUCGGGAUUCGGAAUGGGGCGGGGAAUGUUUCCUUCUCAUUGCGGGCUUCUGCACUUAACUGGGUGGAAGUGUUCCGUAUGGGAUCGUUUACCUUGAGAAAAUUAGAGUGUUCAAAGCAGGCAAUUCUUUUUUCUUGGGUGGAGCGGGGCUUGGGGCAACUCAGGUUCAGUUUCAUUCAAGCUACAAGCCAUUGAAUACUUCAGCAUGGAAUAAUAAAACAGGACUCGAUUCCUAUUUUGUUGGUUUCUAGGAAAACGGGUAAUGAUUGAUAGGGAUAGUUGGGGAUAUUAGUAUUUAGUUGUCAGAGGUGAAAUUCUUAGAUUUACGAAAGACUAACUUCUGCGAAAGCAUUUAUCAAGGAUGUUUUCAUUGA
Molecule: ribosomal RNA, 500 nt
Filed under: uncultured eukaryote
Lineage: Eukaryota
Description: partial 18S ribosomal RNA
Rfam family: Eukaryotic small subunit ribosomal RNA
Source: RNAcentral